Molecule: small RNA, 299 nt
Filed under: Drosophila ananassae
Lineage: Eukaryota; Metazoa; Arthropoda; Insecta; Diptera; Drosophilidae
Description: GF28144
Source: RNAcentral
UACUUGAAAGUUCUUGAGUUAUUAUAAUUAUGAACGUGCUCUUCUCUUUGGUUGUAAUUUCUGGAUUCUUGGCUUCUUCUUAUGCUUUCGGCCCUUUGAGGUGUUUGGCAAUGACUGAAGAAUGCCUGGGAACAGACGCGUGGAGAAAGUACGUGAAGUCACUUAAGAAUGAAUAAAUUUGUAUAUACAGAUAAAUUUGGGAACAGAUGCGUGGAGAAAGUACAAGGAGUCAAUUAAGCUUGUAUAAAUUUUUAUAUAUUUUAUUGAUAUUUAAUUGAAAAUAAAAUUCAUAAGGAAUA